Long non-coding RNA from Amblyraja radiata (thorny skate), 987 nucleotides. RefSeq lists it as uncharacterized. The record is from RefSeq and is a predicted model, not a curated record. Lineage: Eukaryota; Metazoa; Chordata; Chondrichthyes; Rajiformes; Rajidae. The transcript is spliced from 3 exons.
UAACACUGGUUCAUCAAAUGUACUUUAUUGUUUAGGCGGAUGAACCACAGCUGAAAAAUGGAUCACAGUGCUUGUUACACCAUGUUUGUGGAAGUUAGAACAGGAAUGGUUGUGGCCCAUUACUCUGGAAGAGAUCACAGCUUGUCAUGCAGAGCAAAUAUUCGUUGUACCAUGUGCUUGAACAAAGUAUAUAAAGAAAGGAUGGAGGAGAUAGCAAAUAUUCUACAAUUCUGCAGCACAGGAGCGAUGUUGUAUGGUACAAUGCAGCUGGAAUUUUAGAUUUUCAUUUGCUGUGGAAUCUGGAGUCCCAAUUAUUAGUAAUCAUUGAAAACUCAAGAGAUUGCAGAUAGUGGAAUCUUGAGUUAAAAAAAAACUGCUGGAGGAACUCAGUUGGUCAGUGGCUUGUUUUAAAGUAUACCUGUUACAUUAAAUUUGCAAAUAUAUAAUAUAUCUUCAAAUGUCACCAAUCGCUCUGCAAGAAAUAUUAUUCUAUGAGCUCUCAGUAUAUACAUUAGAUUACAAUGCAAUAAAUGUUGCUUGAUCGUGUAUCCCACAAGUGUUAAGUGGAAGGGAUUACAACCCUUGGUGUGCAAUACUGGGGUGGGCCUUUUACUAUAGCCCUUACUGUGGAGUAUUGGAUGGCUGCACUGAUCUUCAGCAUAUCCCUCAGUAUGUAGCUCUGAACCAUGGAAUGCUCCAGUCCACAGUCUUCUGUGGCCUACUCUUCACUCUGGAAGACCAGUGAGUUUAGAGCCACCAAAGGCUUCUUCACCGCUCAUAAUCAUUCAACAGACAUGGAUGUUUGUCUUAGUGUGUGUCCUCGGGAACACAUAAAGCACAGAGUACCUACUCGGGAUGAACCUUGACAAAGACUACUGCAUCCUUUUCUGUGCGUGUAUGAAGGUUCCGCUCAAGUAACCAUCCAACAGGAGCACCAGCUCACUUUCCUGUCUUGGACGUUCUAUGCAGAAAACAACCCGAUUGACU